UAACUAGCAAAAAUGCCCGCGCGUUGCUGCGGGACUUGAAUGCACCAGCCUUAACCACAUGAAUAAGACAUUUAAUCUGCAAAAAAAUUCAUCAUAAUCAGGAACAAACAAAAGGGAUAGAUGAGUGAAAGAUGUUGGUAAGAUGAGAGUUGAAUCAAAGGAAUCAGUAGUGUAAAACUGACAAAAUGCUUACAAAUUCAACUCCAAUUAUGCUGAUGUAGCUAUCCAAGUAUGAAUUAUCCUAUUCAACAAUUCUGAAGCUCAGACAAAAAUUGCAUGAGAAAUAUUGAGAUUAUAUGCAAUUGUAUGUCAAAUAAUCUGAAAAAUACCAUAUAUCCAAUUUAAGUGCAUACACCUAUAAACUAAUCUUCAUAUAUACUUUAAAAUAAUACAGAUCAAUGUAAUCUAAAACAUUGGAAACAUUAUCAUACAAUUAAAGAAUCACGAUGCAGAAAAUGUUCUUUCCAUUAUUUUCAAAUAACUUUUCACCCCACAACACUGAGACAGAGAGCAUACCCAUACCAAUGGAGGAAGGGAAACACAAAAUACACUACUUGAUCGCUUGUGGCUUAUAGCUAUUAUUGCUCAACCUGUCUUUAUCUUCGUGUAUCUCUCUGAUUGAAAUAUUAUUCAUAUAAAAUUUCAUUACAGUAUAAAGUAUAUUUAUGUAUAACAUAAUAACCUUCUAAAAGCAAUAUCUUAUAAAAACAUUCCAUCAAUCUAAGAAAACUGAUGACAAUCGUAAGCUAAACAAUGAAAUACCAAAUAAAACUAUAAGCAGCAGUAAUCUUCAAAUCCGAACCUCAAAUUCAAACUUUUCUUGUAAUUCAAAAAUUAAAAAAAGGAGGAAAUGAAAUAUUAAAAAAAAAUAAAAAUCAUAAACCUGCUUUGGAGUUUGCGGGAGGUUUGGAGUAGUGAUCUGGAACGACAUCGGUGCAGUUUUCGUAGAAGCAGAAUCGCUGGCUUCCACGAUCAUCAAGCAGAAUCGUACCAUUUUAAUCUAGAAGUAUAAAAUAAAAAACCCUACACUCAUCAAAGUAAACUAACGGCAUGGGAAGAAAUAGUAAGAGAAUUCUACCAAAAACCAACUAAAUACCAGCUCAAGAAUGAAUCGAAAGCAUAUAUCUUAUUUCAUAGGUUUAUGACAAUUUAGGGUCAAUAAUCUUUGCACCUAAUUAGCUCCAUAUGGGCUCCAGAUACAAAUCUAAUCCAUAUAUGUGAUAUUAUACCUGGUCUAAAGAACACAGAGAGCCCAAAAUCUAUUGUCUUAAGUGGUGCAUCCUCUUUCUGGUUGACAAAUAGAAAAUUCUCUGGCUUUAAGUCCCAAUGCAUGACACCCAAAGAAUGGCAUGCUUCGAGGACACCAGUGAUAACCCAUGCAAGCUUUAGCUGCCUUUCUCUAUGUAAUGCCCAGACCACUUGAAAGGAGUCAUUUGUAAGUCCCAUGCCUACGCUUUGUAAUGAUGCAAUUUUUUUAAUUUUUUAUUUGAAUUUUGUUAAAUUAAGUAAUUUCGGGGAGGCCUACGCUUUCAAACUAUAAUCGACAACCGACAUAAAUAAUUUGCACAGAAAGAUGAACUAAAAAGGCGGCAAGAAUGAAAUCACACCCUUAAAUGCACCAAUGCAAAUAAACACAUUUUACCAGAAUAAAUCCAACAAAAUCACAAAUCAACAAAGGCAUCUCUUAAGAAUUUAAAUAACCAAGAUUUGGAUGAACUGAUUGUGAGUAUUUGUGCAUAGAUGUGUAACUAUUUACAUAAAACAUGUGAAGGACAAUCAGUUUAGAAUUUCAAAAUAUAAAAUAUUACAAUUUCCAUAAAAGAUCAAGUAUUGGGAAACAAAAUUGGCAUCUCACCUUCCACAAUAGGUCGACAAAUGCUUUGAUUACGCUUUAGCUUCUUGUCUACCUGAAAACACAAAUUCACUAUUUAGAAUAUCAUAAUUUCAUGAAAUGGUUCACCCUUGAAUCAAGAAGAACUCCUUUGUUUUAUGUAUGGUACCGAUAAUCAACUCAUAAUAUUGGAUCUCAAUUUAUUUCAAACUUUUAUGCAUUUUUGACUAUUCUAGGAUCCAUUUAGGCAAUCUCUUAGACCAUUAGUUUGUUCCCUUUGACUAAAAUAAAAAACAGCACAUCCGCUUGCUGCUUAGUGACUUGAUAAGUCAGUCACAAAGAUAACAUGUAGAAUGCAAAUAUGGAUCACGAAAAACAACAGCUAUAGAAUUGAUUAUAUAGAAGAAGAAUACAAACUUAUUGUGAGGUUAUCCCAGCUAUCCACUAUGACCCAGUAUAUAUAGCAAGUAAAAACUACAAAAGCAAAGAUCUCAUUCAAUGACAGUUUGUUUCUUAUCCAGAAAAAUAAAAUGAACAGGUUAAUGACACUCUCAAAGUUGGUUUAUGUUCAAAUUAGUGAAUUACCAUAAUCUUUGCUGGUUGGUUUUCAAUCUGUAUCUUAAUUAGUAAACAACCAAUCCAAUGCCAACUUCUUUUUAAGAAUUAAAAUGACACUAUUUUUGUCCCUCAUGGAGUUUGAUAAAUUUGCUCGAUCGUUUAUACGUGUUUCUCCUGGGAGUUCUUAAAUCAUCGUUCUACUACUCAACAGACAUCAAUCUGAAACAUAUGGCUUGUUCAGGUACGCUCUCUUGUUUGAAAUUUGUCUCUCUUUUUAUGCUGUUUGGUAUGGUUAGUUAGUUUUCCCAUAUCCUUAGAUCUCUCAGUCCAAGUUCAAUUCAAUAUUGAUUAUUUGCUACAAUAUCUUCUCCUAUUGUUGCGAGAGAAUUCAUAUCAAGAUUAACUUCAUUAUUUAAUUCGAAUGGAAUCCAAAAGCGGUAUAAAUAUGAAGGAUAAAAAAGUAAUAACAAAAGUCACAUUUCAGCAGCAAUUAAUAGCAGAAAUCAGAAAUAAUUUCAGUAAAAUAGAAAGCAAAGAUUAGAACUCAACCCACUUCUACAUUAGUAAGAAUAAGAAUGAUUAAGCUUAAUCUAGAGAGAGAAACACAAAGAUCAAAACAUCAGGCAUUUAUUUUUGAAAUACAGAGAUCAAAAUUUUAGGCAUUUAUUUCUGAAACAAAAUAAAUGAACAAAACCAUCAACAUCAAGGAUGAUUACAAUUGAUGGGUGCAAUAUGGAAUAUAAGUUUCUGGAGAGAGAAACAACCAAACUUUACACUGGAUCAUAUUUUUUAGAGAAAGAGAGAGUUGGAAGUACUUUUCAACAGCAGAGGUCAAUCUUGGGCAUAAAAAGAAAACAUAGAAGCUUCACAGCACAAUAAUUAACCACAAUCCUCUGUUUUUCUAAGUGCAAAUAGAAAAACAGAAACAAAGUAUUGAACACAAAAUCUUCACAUUAGCCCAAGAAUUAUAUUGUUUCUAGAGCUUUCCAAAUUGCCAGCACGGAACGACAAACAUAAAAGCACUAAAAUAUAUAAUUGGAAAUAUAAAAAUAACAAUUCCAAGAAACUAAAUGGGAAGUUGGGCAGAUCUGCAAAGUAACACAAACUCAUUACUCAAAAUUAAGAGCAUUGUGGCUCACCCUGAAAGCACCUCUUUUCCGAUAAGGGAGAGAAAGGCCGUUGUUCUGGCUACUGAGUGCUGCUGGCUCCAAAGCAGUUUAUGUUCCAGAACUUUAUAAGAGCAAGUCACCCAUUCAAAACCACCAUAAAUCGCGAGUUUACAUCAUUUUGCUACCAAAAAAAAAAAGCAAACAAAAAAAAGGAAAAAAAUAGAAAGUAUAAGAUUCAAACAUGUUUACAAUUACAAACACUUUACAAUGCGUGUAAAAAUUAAACGUUCUCAAGCACCCAUGUCUCCAAUUCGAGGCUAAAACCCAAUUCCACAAAAGAAAUCAACAAUUUUGAUCAAAACAGAAAAGCCAACAGACUCAAAAGGCCAGAAUACAAUUAUACAUAUCCUUAGCUGCUAUGGAAAUCAACAGUUCCAUAUAAGUAUACAAAAGAUUUUCUUACACCUAAUUUCGCAGCUUAGAGAGCAAUAGUUAUACUAAAACAACAAUUAAUUGAAACGAUUGAAGGGGAAAAAAGCAAAAGUGGAAAAAAAGAACUCAACAAAGAUUGUGUUCCCAAUCUAAAUACAUUAUAUACUCCAGCACAAAAUAAAACCCAGGUGUCCUUUAGCACCGAAGCUCUGUUCAUGUGGAUUUUGGGAAAAAAAAACCGUUGAAAACUUAACAAUCCAGAUUAGGGGAAACAAUUACGGAAAAUUAACAACAACUAAACAAAUUAAAGAACUGAAAACCCACAAAAAAAACCCAAAAAAAAAAAAACCAACUGACCUUAAAACAAAGAACAUACUGAACAGAAAGGGAAUCCCCAAAAUUAGAGAAAAUGAAACAAAUAAGGGAAUAAAGAGAGAGAUGAAUCCGCCAAAACCGGACCUAAUGUACUAAAAAAUUUGAAAAUCCAAUCUAACAUUAAAGAAUCCAAUUUAAAAAAUGAACUUAUCUUAGGAAAUGAUCACAAAAUCCGGCACACAUCAUCCUCAGUAGCCUCUGCUCAUGACCCCUACCCCUCUCCCUGAAAUCCUGAAUACCCCAUAUGGUUCUCUCUCUCCCUCUCUCUCUCUCUCUCUCUCCCUCUCCCCAAAAUGGGAAGUGGAAAGUUUGGUCAUGCAAGACUUAAGACAUUAAUUAUUUAAAGGACCUAAUGGAUGGCAGAAAAUGGUUGGGGGAGACGGGUUAGGAUAGUAGGAAAUGGACCAGUUUUUUUAAUUCCUUGAGUCCAUAAUUUUGUAAGUGGUUUGCCAACUCCUUAAUUUAAUAAAAUUAGUUUAGGACUUUGUGAGCAUGGGCGCUGCAUGUUUACAACAAAACAAUUUUAAAGUUGAAAAACCUAACCCACUUAUGUAAUGUAUUAAACCUUAAAGACAGCUCAACCUCUAAUAAUAAUCUUAUUAAAUUAAACCAUAACCAAAAUAAAUAAUGCAGACACAAAAGCACAACUAUUGUCACACGAAGGAAUUCACGAUUAAUACAAUGUAUAUCUGUCGAUAAAAAGAUCUGUAGUAGCAAGCAAUUCAUCACACUAUAUAAUCUGUCAUAUCUACCGUGCACUGUACUGCUUGGUCUGAAGUAGAGAAAAGAAACUAAGUAUAUCGUAUAAAACCUUAGGGCAAACAAAUAACUAUAGAAGACAACGCAUCUAAUUGCAAAUCACAUGUACAUCAAGGUUAUGAUCAUCCAUGUCUAGGUUUAAGACAAUUUUAAGUAAAAUUGCCACUAUAUAUACACGGAGGGUGUCAAAGGAAUUAUAUACUUUAAUUAGUAAAAUCAACGGCAUAUAAAAUCCAAAAAGGGAAUUCAAAUUGGAACAGACGGAAAAUAGAUAAAAGAUUUACCAGAAGCAAAACAAUCACACAGUAUUAUCUCCACAAUGAAGAAAUUGUAUCGCCAAAAUGGAGAUACAUAAGUCUCAGACGGUUUAUAGAUGAAGGGAGAUAGCAAAAAUAAAAAGCGUAAUCAGACAGAUGAACAAUGAAAAUUAAACAUACCAGGUGAGCAAUACCAGACAUUUCCUGCCUUCAAGCAAUCGGUUAUUGUCUCCAUGUUCAACUAAACCUCUAUAGAAAA
Molecule: long non-coding RNA, 5580 nt
Filed under: Malus domestica (apple)
Lineage: Eukaryota; Viridiplantae; Streptophyta; Magnoliopsida; Rosales; Rosaceae
Description: long non-coding RNA (MDOM_LNC002142)
Source: RNAcentral